This 253-nucleotide ribosomal RNA is filed under the name uncultured bacterium. Its description in RNAcentral is "partial 16S ribosomal RNA". It matches the Rfam family "Bacterial small subunit ribosomal RNA", at positions 524 to 776 of the family's 1533-position model. The record is from RNAcentral.
UACGUAGGGUGCGAGCGUUGUCCGGAAUUAUUGGGCGUAAAGGGCUCGUAGGCGGUUUGUCGCGUCGGAAGUGAAAACACGGGGCUUAACUCUGUGCUUGCUUUCGAUACGGGCAGACUAGAGGGAUGCAGGGGAGAACGGGAUUCCUGGUGUAGCGGUGAAAUGCGCAGAUAUCAGGAGGAACACCGGUGGCGAAGGCGGUUCUCUGGGCAUUCCCUGACGCUGAGGAGCGAAAGUGUGGGGAGCGAACAGG